UGGGGAAUAUUGCACAAUGGGCGAAAGCCUGAUGCAGCAACGCCGCGUGGGUGAUGAAGGUUUUCGGAUUGUAAAGCCCUGUCUUUUGGGACGAUAAUGACGGUACCAAAGGAGGAAGCCACGGCUAACUACGUGCCAGCAGCCGCGGUAAUACGUAGGUGGCGAGCGUUGUCCGGAUUUACUGGGCGUAAAGGGUGCGUAGGCGGAUAUUUAAGUGGGAUGUGAAAACCCCCGGGCUUAACCUGGGGACUGCAUUU
This 257-nucleotide ribosomal RNA is filed under the name uncultured bacterium. Its description in RNAcentral is "partial 16S ribosomal RNA". It matches the Rfam family "Bacterial small subunit ribosomal RNA", at positions 355 to 628 of the family's 1533-position model. The record is from RNAcentral.